RNA transcript from Solanum lycopersicum (tomato), 2630 nucleotides. It is a transcript of the gene named carbon catabolite repressor protein 4 homolog 1-like, with no coding region annotated. The record is from RefSeq and is a predicted model, not a curated record. NCBI's taxonomy places the organism in Eukaryota, Viridiplantae, Streptophyta, Magnoliopsida, Solanales, Solanaceae.
GCUUAGACUAGUGUCUUCCCUCCUCUCUCUCCGUUUGUAAAACCCUAAAAUCACAUCUAAUCAAUCGAUUCUCCCCUCCUCUCUCUGAAGUUUUCUAUUUGUCUCUUAGUAACAAAUUGAAUCUUCAUUGAUUUCUCUGUAGUUUUGUCCAUUUUCAUUGAAGAUCUAUUCGAUUUUAAUCCAAAUUUUGCUGUUGGUGAUAUUAUAUACUAUUUUGCUGUUGUUGAUAUUGAGGGCAAAGAAGACUGGCGAUUGUCGCAGAAGUCUGUUGAAUGGCAGAUACGCCGCAUCUCCAUUAUAUCUUGGAUUUUUCUCACUUAAACUUAGUACUAGGAGAAGUUGCAGUUGUGUUGAGAAAAAGAAAACAGUGCGUUAACUUCAAUAUUUUUCAAGAAGGAGAACAAUGCUGACUGUGGUGCGGGUUCAUCUCCCGUCUGACAUUCCCAUAGUAGGCUGUGAACUUACCCCCUAUGUUUUGUUGCGUCUUCCUGAUUCAUUACUCAUUUCUGAUGAUAUCCCUGAAUCCGCCCCUGUUUACGGCUGUUUCUUGAGAUAUAAGUGGUACCGAAUACAAAGUGAUAAACAUGUUGCCAUGUGCAGCAUCCAUCCAUCUGAGCAAGCUACACUGCAGUGCCUUGCAUGUGUGAAGGCCAAAAUCCCUGUUGCCAAGAGUUACCAUUGCUCCCCAAAAUGUUUCUCAGAUGCAUGGCAGCAUCAUCGUCUUCUGCAUGAACGUGCUGCUAGUGCUGUGAAUACAAAUGGAAAUGAGGAAAAUACAGGAUCUGGUGUUAAUACAAGCUUGACUUCUUCGCAAUCAAGCGGUAGCUUGACAAAUGGAACAACACCUUUUCCUGUAGUUGUAACUCAAAGAAGUGGUGGUGAAACCUGGUUUGAAGUUGGACACUCUAAAACUUACACCCCAUCUGCAGAUGAUAUUGGUCACACCCUUAAAUUUGAAUGUGCUAUCAUCAAUGCAGUAACAAAAUCAACUGUUGGAAAUGCUAGUACCAUGAUGUCUCGAGUGAUUCCUGCUCCAUCUCCUACUCCACGUCGCUUGAUUUCAGUUAGUGGAGUUGAUAUACCACUACAUCUGGACUUAGAUAGUCGUUUAUCAUCUUCAGGAACUUUUACUGUGCUCUCAUACAACAUUCUGUCUGAUGCAUAUGCAACAAAUGAAUUGUACAGUUAUUGCCCCUCUUGGGCUCUUGCUUGGACUUACCGGAGACAAAAUCUAUUGCGUGAAAUAGCUGGCUACCGUGCAGACAUUGUUUGCCUCCAAGAGGUUCAGAGUGAUCACUUUGAAGAAUUCUUUGCUCCUGAGCUGGACAAACAUGGUUAUCAAGCUUUGUUCAAAAGAAAAACAACUGAGGUGAUCAGUGGGAAUAUAAAUACCGUUGAUGGUUGUGCCACAUUUUUCCGCCGAGAUAGAUUCACACAUGUUAAAAAAUAUGAGGUUGAGUUCAACAAAGCUGCUCAAUCUUUGACUGAAGCCUUAGUUCCCAGCGCCCAAAAGAAGACCGCAUUAAAUCGUUUGCUGAAGGAUAAUAUUGCACUUAUUGUGGUUCUGGAAGCAAAGUUCAAUAGCCAGGGAGUUGACAACACUGGGAAGCGUCAACUUGUUUGUGUGGCUAACACACAUGUAAAUGUUCAUCAAGAGUUAAAGGAUGUCAGACUUUGGCAGGUUCACACACUUUUAAAAGGACUAGAGAAAAUUGCUGCUACUGCUGACAUUCCAAUGCUGCUCUGUGGCGAUUUUAAUUCAGCGCCUGGAAGUGCUCCUCAUGCACUUGUUUCAAUGGGGAAAGUUGAUCCAAUGCAUCCAGAGUUAGCAGUGGACCCUUUUGGUAUUUUGCGUCCAGCCACAAAGUUAACACAUCAUCUGCCAUUGGUAAGUGCUUACACAUCCUUUGCCCGAGUACCUGUGGUUCCUGGACUAGCUCAGAAACGGAGGAAGCUUGAUCCCAGUACGAAUGAACCUUUGUUUACAAGCUGCACCAGAGAUCAUUUUGGGACUCUUGAUUAUAUAUUCUAUUCUGCCGACUCUGUAACAGUUGAAUCGUUGUUAGAGCUCUUGGAUGAGGAAAGCUUGAGAAAAGACACAGCACUUCCUUCUCCAGAGUGGUCCUCUGAUCAUAUAGCACUCUUAGCUGGGUUUCGGUGCAAGCCUAGAACUAGGCGCUGACAAUGGGUAUGCAAUUUGUUUCUGUUGAAUUACAUAUUUCGGUGCAAGCUAGAACUAGGCGCUGACAAUGGGUCUUGCUUGAGGGAUGAAGUUGAAGAUAGAAGCACAAAACAAUCCAAAGGACAAAUAUAAGUCAUUGUAAGAAUAGUAGCUGAUGAUAUGGCCCCCUGCCUUCUUUUUUGGGUGUUCGCGGUGGGAUAGCAGUUGAUCCUUGUAUUAUGCUACCUUAUCAUCACAUAGAAAAGUAUGAUAGUUUUUGAUAGUUUUUUUUAAAAAAAAGUCACUGGAAAUUUGCAUCAAUGUAUGUUCUGUAGAAUAAAAGCUGAGUUAAGAGUAGAGUUUACGGGCAGAGGAAGAAAACUGGAUUUAAUUUCCCCAUGACUUUUGCUGGUUUGGUCGAUAGUUGAUUUUUUUACCAUGAAGGUUAAUUGGAAAUUGUGGUCGCUGA